RNAcentral lists this ribosomal RNA (253 nucleotides) under uncultured bacterium. Its description in RNAcentral is "partial 16S ribosomal RNA". It matches the Rfam family "Bacterial small subunit ribosomal RNA", at positions 524 to 776 of the family's 1533-position model. The record is from RNAcentral.
UACAGAGGUCUCAAGCGUUGUUCGGAUUCAUUGGGCGUAAAGGGUGCGUAGGCGGCGCGGUAAGUCGGGUGUGAAAUCUCGGAGCUUAACUCCGAAACUGCAUUCGAUACUGCCGUGCUUGAGGACUGGAGAGGAGACUGGAAUUUACGGUGUAGCAGUGAAAUGCGUAGAGAUCGUAAGGAAGACCAGUGGCGAAGGCGAGUUUCUGGACAGUUACUGACGCUGAGGCACGAAGGCCAGGGGAGCAAACGGG